GCUAGUAGGUGAGGUAAAGGCUCACCUAGGCGACGAUCCGUAGCGGGUCUGAGAGGAUGAUCCGCCACACUGGGACUGAGACACGGCCCAGACUCCUACGGGAGGCAGCAGUGGGGAAUUUUGGACAAUGGGCGCAAGCCUGAUCCAGCCAUGCCGCGUGAGUGAUGAAGGCCCUCGGGUUGUAAACUGCUUUUGUACAGAACGAAAAAGCUCUGGCUAAUACCUGGAGUCCAUGACGGUACUGUAAGAAUAAGCACCGGCUAACUACGUGCCAGCAGCCGCGGUAAUACGUAGGGUGCAAGCGUUAAUCGGAAUUACUGGGCGUAAAGCGUGCGCAGGCGGUUUUGUAAGACAGAGGUGAAAUCCCCGGGCUCAACCUGGGAACUGCCUUGUGACUGCAAGGCUGGAGUGCGGCAGAGGGGGAUGGGAAUUCCGCGUGUAGCAGUGAAAUGCGUAGAUAUGCGGAGGAACACCGAUGGCGAAGGCAAUCCCCU
This 494-nucleotide ribosomal RNA is filed under the name uncultured bacterium. Its description in RNAcentral is "bacterial SSU rRNA". It matches the Rfam family "Bacterial small subunit ribosomal RNA", at positions 244 to 730 of the family's 1533-position model. The record is from RNAcentral.